UGGGGAAUAUUGCACAAUGGGCGCAAGUCUGAUGCAGCCAUGCCGCGUGUAUGAAGAAGGCCUUCGGGUUGUAAAGUACUUUCAGCGAGGAGGAAGGCGUUGUGGUUAAUAACCGCAACGAUUGACGUUACUCGCAGAAGAAGCACCGGCUAACUCCGUGCCAGCAGCCGCGGUAAUACGGAGGGUGCAAGCGUUAAUCGGAAUUACUGGGCGUAAAGCGCACGCAGGCGGUCUGUCAAGUCGGAUGUGAAAUCCCCGGGCUCAACCUGGGAACUGCAUCCGAAACUGGCAGGCUAGAGUCUUGUAGAGGGGGGUAGAAUUCCAGGUGUAGCGGUGAAAUGCGUAGAGAUCUGGAGGAAUACCGGUGGCGAAGGCGGCCCCCUGGACAAAGACUGACGCUCAGGUGCGAAAGCGUGGGGAGCAAACA
This 427-nucleotide ribosomal RNA is filed under the name uncultured bacterium. RNAcentral's name for it is "partial 16S ribosomal RNA". It matches the Rfam family "Bacterial small subunit ribosomal RNA", at positions 355 to 774 of the family's 1533-position model. The record is from RNAcentral.